This 414-nucleotide ribosomal RNA is filed under the name uncultured bacterium. Its description in RNAcentral is "bacterial SSU rRNA". It matches the Rfam family "Bacterial small subunit ribosomal RNA", at positions 42 to 455 of the family's 1533-position model. The record is from RNAcentral.
UCAGGCCUAACACAUGCAAGUCGAACGAUGAAGCUGGAGCUUGCUCCGGUGGAUUAGUGGCGAACGGGUGAGUAACACGUGAGAAAUCUGCCCUUGACUCUGGGAUAACUGCGGGAAACUGUAGCUAAUACCGGAUAUUUUCCUUGGUGGGCAUCCACUGGGGAAGAAAGAAUUUCGGUCAAGGAUGAUCUCGCGGCCUAUCAGCUAGUUGGUGAGGUAAUGGCUCACCAAGGCGACGACGGGUAGCCGGCCUGAGAGGGUGACCGGCCACACUGGGACUGAGACACGGCCCAGACUCCUACGGGAGGCAGCAGUGGGGAAUAUUGCACAAUGGGCGCAAGCCUGAUGCAGCAACGCCGCGUGAGGGAUGAAGGCCUUCGGGUUGUAAACCUCUUUAGCAGGGAAGAAGCGAAA